Marasmius tenuissimus is the source of this 91-nucleotide non-coding RNA. The record is from the annotation of a GenBank genome assembly. Lineage: Eukaryota; Fungi; Basidiomycota; Agaricomycetes; Agaricales; Marasmiaceae.
GGGCGUUUAGCGCAGUGGUAGCGCGUAUGCUUUGCAAAAUCCCCUGGGAUUAGUGUGUAUAAGGUCCAGGGUUCAAUCCCCUGAACGUCCA